UACGGGGGGGGCAAGCGUUGUUCGGAAUUACUGGGCGUAAAGGGCUCGUAGGCGGCCAACUAAGUCGGAUGUGAAAUCCCCAGGCUCAACUUGGGAACUGCAUCCGAUACUGGAUGGCUUGAAUUCGGGAGAGGGAUGCAGAAUUCCAGGUGUAGCGAUGAAAUGCGUAGAUAUCUGGAGGAACACCGAUGGCGAAGGCAAUCCCCUGGGCCUGCACUGACGCUCAUGCACGAAAGCGUGGGGAGCAAACAGG
This 253-nucleotide ribosomal RNA is filed under the name uncultured bacterium. Its description in RNAcentral is "partial 16S ribosomal RNA". It matches the Rfam family "Bacterial small subunit ribosomal RNA", at positions 524 to 776 of the family's 1533-position model. The record is from RNAcentral.